GUGCUUUUUGAGCAAUGUCAUGGUUGCAUCGGUAUCCCGCAGACCACUGACCUCCUUCCCAUUUACUUUGACCAGUUGCCGGUGUUGUUGCCGGUUAUCGCGGUGGGCAGCUUGGACAGGGUCUGCCUCGUGUAGAACGCCCCAACAUUCCUCCUCCUCUACGCAGUGGGCAACAGGCGGAGGGGGUCGUUGGUUUCCGCUGGUCGGUCUCCUCCAAGACUGUGCCUGGUUAGCGUUAUUCAGCGGGCACUCUGGUCGUUUGUGCCCUAGCUGCUUGCACCCAAAACAUCGGAUGGGUUGUGAGUAGU
Non-coding RNA from Pelobates cultripes (western spadefoot toad), 308 nucleotides. NCBI's taxonomy places the organism in Eukaryota, Metazoa, Chordata, Amphibia, Anura, Pelobatidae. The record is from the annotation of a GenBank genome assembly.